UAGGGAAUCUUCGGCAAUGGACGAAAGUCUGACCGAGCAACGCCGCGUGAGUGAAGAAGGUUUUCGGAUCGUAAAACUCUGUUGUUAGAGAAGAACAAGGACGUUAGUAACUGAACGUCCCCUGACGGUAUCUAACCAGAAAGCCACGGCUAACUACGUGCCAGCAGCCGCGGUAAUACGUAGGUGGCAAGCGUUGUCCGGAUUUAUUGGGCGUAAAGCGAGCGCAGGCGGUUUCUUAAGUCUGAUGUGAAAGCCCCCGGCUCAACCGGGGAGGGUCAUUGGAAACUGGGGGACUAGAGAGCAGAAGAGGAAAGUGGAAUUCCAUGUGUAGCGGUGAAAUGCGUAGAUAGAUGGAGGAACACCAGUGGCGAAGGCGGCUCUCUGGUCUGUAACAGACGCUGAGGCUCGAAAGCGUGGGGAGCAAACAGG
RNAcentral lists this ribosomal RNA (429 nucleotides) under Gemmatimonadota bacterium. RNAcentral's name for it is "Gemmatimonadetes bacterium partial 16S ribosomal RNA". It matches the Rfam family "Bacterial small subunit ribosomal RNA", at positions 355 to 776 of the family's 1533-position model. The record is from RNAcentral. Lineage: Bacteria; Pseudomonadati; Gemmatimonadota.